UGAGGAAUAUUGGUCAAUGGACGCAAGUCUGAACCAGCCAAGUAGCGUGCAGGAUGACGGCCCUAUGGGUUGUAAACUGCUUUUAUAUGGGGAUAAAGUGGGGAACGUGUUCCCUUUUGCAGUUACCAUAUGAAUAAGGACCGGCUAAUUCCGUGCCAGCAGCCGCGGUAAUACGGAAGGUUCGGGCGUUAUCCGGAUUUAUUGGGUUUAAAGGGAGCGUAGGCCGCGUUUUAAGCGUGUUGUGAAAUGUAGAGGCCCAACGUAUGCAUCGCAGGGGGAGCUAGGACGCUUGAGUACGCGCAACGUUGGCGGAAUUCGUCGGGUAGCGGUAAAAUGAUUAGAUAUGACGAGGAACUCCGAUUGAGAAAGCAGCUGACGGAAGCAGCACUGACGCUUAAGCUCGAAGGUGCGGGUAUCAAACAGG
Molecule: ribosomal RNA, 424 nt
Filed under: Verrucomicrobiota bacterium
Lineage: Bacteria; Pseudomonadati; Verrucomicrobiota
Description: Verrucomicrobia bacterium partial 16S ribosomal RNA
Rfam family: Bacterial small subunit ribosomal RNA
Source: RNAcentral